AUCCUACGAGGGGCAGCAGUGAGGAAUAUUGGUCAAUGGGCGGGAGCCUGGACCAGCCAAGUCGCGUGAGGGAAGACGGUCCUAUGGAUUGUAAACCUCUUUAGGCGGGGAGCAAUGCCGGGCACGCGUGCCCGGAGGGAGAGUACCCGCAGAAUAAGCAUCGGCUAACUCCGUGCCAGCAGCCGCGGUAAUACGGAGGGUGCGAGCGUUAAUCGGAAUUACUGGGCGUAAAGCGCUCGUAGGCGGUAUGUCAAGUCAAGGGUGAAAUCCCCGCGCUCAACGUGGGAACUGCCUUUGAAACUGGC
This 305-nucleotide ribosomal RNA is filed under the name uncultured bacterium. RNAcentral's name for it is "bacterial SSU rRNA". It matches the Rfam family "Bacterial small subunit ribosomal RNA", at positions 335 to 637 of the family's 1533-position model. The record is from RNAcentral.